CUGAAAGCUGCUGAAGAGCUUUGUGUAUGCCUUUCUUCAAUUCCUGCCAGGAUAUCGGCUUUGUGUUCAUCUAAACAGGCCCAGGUUUCACACUGAGAGGACUCGGGCCCAGAGAGCAGCACAGGAGCUGGUAGAGAAGAACAGUUUACAGAUGAUGAGGAGGAGGAGGAAGAGGUCACCCUAGAUCAGCCGACUACCUUUAUGUUUUCCAAACAGCCACAACAUAGUGUUGUGAUGCAGGAGAACCAGACCGCAGCGCAGGAGCUACAGGAGGAGAAACCCUCACAGACAUGGAGGAGGAUGUGGUCGAACAGCCAGGAUAAUUUUACACCAUAGAACAGUUAACCUGGUUCUUGGAGCAGAUUUUAGGACAAGAUGAUGUCGUACUAACAAACUACUUUCCGGAUAGAAAACAAAUCAUAAAAUCUGUGGAGCACACAACAACAGGUGAGAAUCUGGGCUUGCUGUCACCAACGAGACGCUUCAGAUUGGGGAUAUGGGCAUCAGAGGCAGGGUUUAAGGAGGUGAAUGAAGCAGGAUCAGGUAACCCACCUACUUCAAACUUUUCAGAACAACCUGAAGAACUGUACACCACAGAACAGUUAAACUGUUUUCUAGACUUAAC
This is a long non-coding RNA of Ictalurus punctatus (channel catfish), 625 nucleotides long. NCBI's taxonomy places the organism in Eukaryota, Metazoa, Chordata, Actinopteri, Siluriformes, Ictaluridae. The record is from Ensembl.